This 6635-nucleotide long non-coding RNA is filed under the name Daucus carota (carrot). RNAcentral describes it as "long non-coding RNA (DCAR_LNC003883)". Lineage: Eukaryota; Viridiplantae; Streptophyta; Magnoliopsida; Apiales; Apiaceae. The record is from RNAcentral.
GAAUGACAAGGAAUUUUUCCAUAUCAGGGGAUCACGUCCUAUAGUCCAUGCAUUGACUAGGACUUGCGAAUUCUUGGGAAUAGUGUAGCCACAGAGUUGAACUUCUUCUUGUACUUGGCGAGGUAUUAAGAAAGGAGCCGGUGGGUGUAAUCCUCCGGUCUCUUUCACAAUACAUUGCAAAUAAGGCAACCUAGAUAUGUCCUCUUCUUUUACAAUCUUUCCCUUCCCGACCACUUCGUUCAGCUCAGCUUUCGCCUUGACUAAUAUUGUAUCUGGAUUUUUUAAUAUCUCGGCCAUCGACCAUUCCACUGUACCUGAAGUUGUAUAUGUUCCUGCAGCAAACAAGUCCUGGCAGUGUGUAUCAAGUAUUAAUGAUUCUGGACUUAUGAUAAUCUUAGUAUCAUAAUCGUCAAGAAAGCAGUGCAGGCGUGUGCAGCCUUUGCUAAUAGCAAAGCAAAGAGAGAACAGUCCAAAUUAGAUCUAAAAUCGGACUAUAACAAAUAGUCUGAAAUAGUAAUUUUAUUUUCUAUAGAUCUAAUAGGAUCGAAAUUCUAUAAUUGACUGAUCGGACCGAAAUUAUUUUAAAAAUGUAAAUAAAACUAAAAUUUAUGAUUUAUUAAAAAAAUUAAUAGUAAUUAAUGACCACACCACUUCGCCAAAAUAGGUAUACUAAAUUUACAAAUAAGAUAUUACAAUUAUAAUUUAUAAUAUGUAUAUAUAUAUAUAUAUAUAUAUAUAUAUAUAUAUAUAUAUAAAAUAGUAAUUAAUAUUAUAUUGUUUGGAUUAUUCGGUUCGGACCGAAAUAUUUUUUUAGAAAUCUACCCGAACGAAAUUUAUUUGAAUUAUUUAAUUAGAAUUUAGACAGAAUUUUCAAAAAAUUAGGACCAAAUCGAAUUCACACAGUUCCGUUUUGUUCUACCCUGCUGAAGAGUUGUGUUUGGACACCUUUCUUUCUUUCUUUCUUUUUUCUUUGACGAACAAUAGGAUUUUAUUGAACAUAAAACAUAAGAACACAGUCGGGACAAAUCCCCAAACUGACAAUUACAACUUGAUUGUGAAACAAAAAUCGAGCUAAACAAAUAGCCGCAAACAAAAAUCGAGCUAAACAAAUAGUCGUUUUGUUUUCAGAUUGCUUAACAGAUAGAAUAUAAAUAUUCUUGAUAAUAAAAAUGAUUACAAAAGUUUCUCGAGCAAUCCAGUCGACACCAACAUCACUGAAAAUAGUAGAAUCACAAUUGACCUGCGCACUUAAAAAACCGGUGAUAGACCAGUGUUCGUAUCCAUCAGUUACACCAACUGAGGUUGGGGGUACAAAUGCCCCAUAUAUUGAACAAUCUUUUGUUGUGCGAAGUGAGCUCUCGCGAUAAGUACCACAAUUCCAGAUUUGAAGCGGGUUGCUCAGAUUUCCCGAUACACCGUAGAAAUCAUUCUUAAAGCAACAUGACAACGAAUCAAAAACGCAACAAGACAUACACCCAAAAAUUGGGGACAAUCAACAACCCAAAAAGAUGGGUACGGUAACAAGAUCACACCGAAAGGGAUUUAGAUCUCGAUUAUAUUGAAAACUAUUAGAAUAUAAAUUAAAGAUUUAGAAAUGGAGGAAACGGGAUGAGAGGAAAACUAUUAGAAUAUAGAUUAAAGAUUUAGAAAUGGAGGAAACGGGAUGAGAGGAUGGAUGGGAUGGAUGUGGAUUUGAUGGAAGAAGGGGCGGUGAAGGAUGGAGGAUAGUUAUGAACGGCGGCCGACUCUCAUUAUCUAAUAUCCUAAAAUUAAUUAGGCAGAACUAGAGUUGGUACAGCACGAAGCGGAUGAAGCUUUGCUACAGUGAUCCCGAACUUAUCCUCCAUGUCCAAUUCCUUUGGUGCAAUCCCACCUUCAAGUUUCCAGUCAAAACAAUUUAUGAGGGAGCCCAACAACACUGGCACCAUCCUCACGGCCAAUGGCAAUCCUGGACAUUUCCUUCGACCUGCACCAAAUGGAAUUAGCUCGUAAUGAUGGCCAUUCACAUCAACUUCAGAGUUCAGGAACCUCUCUGGUUGGAAUGACAAGGGAUUUUUCCAUAUCAGGGGAUCACGUCCUAUAGUCCAUGCAUUGACUAGGACUUGCGAAUUCUUGGGAAUAAUGUAGCCACAGAGGUGAACUUCUUCUUGUACUUGGCGAGGUAUUAAGAAAGGAGCCGGUGGAUGUAAUCUUGCAGUCUCUUUCACAAUACAUUGCAAAUAAGGCAACCUAGAUAUGUCCUCUUCUUUUACAAUCUUUCCCUUCCCGACCACUUCGUUCAGCUCAGCUUUCGCCUUCAGUAAUAUUGCAUCUGGAUUUUUUAAUAUCUCAGCCAUGGCCCAUUCGACUGUACCUGAAGUUGUAUCUGUUCCUGCAGCAAACAAGUCCUGCCAGUGUAUAUCAAGUAUUAAUGAUUCUGGACUUAUGAUAAUUUUAGUAUCUUAGGUAAUAACCUAACAAACCUUAGUUGAGGCAUGUCUGAGCAUUUGAAUAUCAGUAAUUAAUCGUACCCAAAAGACAGAAGAACAAUAUAUGAAACUUACCACAAACAGGUGUUGGAUUUGAGUUUUGUCGAUCUCAUUUGUUUGUAAUAUUGUUAACAGUUCAUCAAGAAUAUCUGUUGUACUAUUCUCACUGGAAUUUUCCGAUCUCUUCAACUCCAAGCGCUCAAUUAUCAAACCAUCAAACAACUCGAGUAGCUUCUCACAAGAACCAGUAAAUCGCCGCUUUAUACCCUGCGGAUCAAUCCACUUAAGAAUUGGAAAGUAAUCUACCAAAUUAGGCUUACCCCCCUCAACCAUCAAGUUCCACACCAACUCCCUGAAGUUUUUACCCUCCCCUGAAUUCUGAUACAAAUCUAUCAUAUCCUUUGAAAAUAUGGUGUUGGACAAAAGAUUCAGCAAAGUUAGAAAUACAGCACGACCAAUAUCUACGGCCUCACCACUCUGGCUACACUCCUUACAGUACCCAAUAAGCUCAUGCACCUUCCUACUUCGUAUAUGCUUACUUGCAUCGAGCUUGUUAGCUGUCAGUAUAGAUGAGCUCAUAAUUUUUCUUAAACUUCUCCACUGACUACCAACAGACAAGAACGUUACUGAGUAUUUAUCAUGGUCGCAACCGCGUAGAGCAUCCGGAACAGGACGAUUAGAGAAGGCCAAAUCUUGCUUUUGGAGGACUUCUUGAGCUGCACUUGAUGAAGAAAUGACUAUGGUGGUUACACGGCCUAAAUUGAGACGCAUGAUGGGACCGUAAACUUGAGCAAGGGCGUUUAAGGACUUAUGAGGGAGCUUGCCUAGUUUGUGUACAUUUCCAAUGAUGGGCAAGGGAUAGGGUCCUGGUGGAAGUUUUUGAGGAGCUUUGCUUAUUCUUCUCCCAAAGAAACGUAGAGUAAAGAGUAGCAGUAUGCAGAUGAAUAAACUGAUUAAUAUUGUAUCCAUGAAUCCUGGUAAAAUUGUGUGCCAGAAGUGAAAAUGCAUAUCAAUAUUGGAGACCGAAGGUUGAUAUAUCAUGCUGAUGACUGCCAAAUUGUUUAUCUUGUUAAAAUGUCUGGUGCAUAACACUUUAGCCAUUACAUUUACACCGACGGAAAUUUGACGUCUAAAUAUAAUUAUCUUUUAAAAAAAUUAUAUAAAAAUAAUUAAAAUCCAUUUUUUCCAGGUCAAGUAUAAUACGUUUUUAAUCAUGAAAUAUGUAUCUAAAAGUCGAAUAUUUGAAUAGGAAAGAGUAUUCUUAAAAUUUCGUGGUUGCAAAUUAUAUAUUAAAUAAAUGAUGAAUAAGAUUGCAAAUGUUUACGAUGCAAAUAUGAAAAUAAAUUAUUUCUUAAAAUAAAUGAUUAGAAUAAUAAGAAUGAACAACAAGUAACUUUAGCCAUGCAAUUGCUAUCCAAAAAAAAAACAAACUACAUCCACACAAUCAAAAUGAUUUGUCAAGAUCGUUGGAUGAUGACAUUUGAAAGAUGAAAAAUAUUAAAUACUUUGUUGAGACAAAUUAUUUCUGUAUAUUAUGUAUUAGAGCAGCGAUGUAGUCGACGUACAUACAUAAAAGAAUCUUUGUCCUAGGCUCUCAGUUUAUUAUCAGAGUUACUCUUACAAUUUAUUUAUCUUUUUCUGGUUCACAAAGUAAAGGACCACAUGCCUUUAUCUAAAAUGUCAAUAAUUAACCAGCUUCUACAACUAGAGUUGGUACAGCACGAAGCGGAUGAAGCUUUGCUAGAGUGAUUCCAAACUUCUCCUCCAUGUCCACUUCCUCUUCUGCAAUCCCACCUUCGAGUUCCCAGUCGAAACAAUUUAUGAGGGAGCCCAAUAUCACUGGCACCAUCCUCAUGGCCAAUGGCAAUCCCGGACAUUUCCUUCGACCUGCACCAAAUGGAAUUAGCUCGUAAUUAUGGCCAUUCACGUCAACUUCCGAGUUCAGGAACCUCUCUGGUUGGAAUGACAAGGAAUUUUUCCAUAUCAGGGGAUCACGUCCGAUACUCCAUGUAUUGAUUAGGACUUGUGAAUUUUUUGGAACAGGGUGUUUGAAAAUGGAGUUUUAAGCUCAUAAUUUUAUUAUGUUCUUGUUGUUAAUUCAAUAUUCUAAUGAUUGGAAGUUGUUUCUAGAUAUCGGAACUUAAACUUUCAUGUAUGGGUUUAAAAAUUUUCUUAAUGAAAUCCAUAAGAGAAAUGAAGUUGAAGUUAGUAGCUUGAAAGAGCUUGUUUUUGAGAAUGUUGUUUGUCCCACAUUGAAAGAAAUAAAGGGGGUGUUGGCUUUAUAUAGUAUAACACACAUGGGUAGUGCAUAACUACUAAGGUGUGUUAUGGUGCGUGGUGUUCUCACGAGCCCACGCGCGCGCCGCCGCCGCCGCCCCACCACGGGUCGGGUCGGGUCGGGGCGAUUUGGGCGAAUGUCUCGGCGUCUCGCGUACGCGAGGCGACCUGGGCGGGGAAUUUUAUUUCGUAUCGAUUUAAUAUAAUAUUUUAAUUAGAAUUUAUUUAUCAUUUGGGCUGGGUUGUGUCUGUUGGGCUCAAUUGGACUGGGUCGGAUUGCAUAAUUGGGCUAAGUCAGAUACAAUGAACCUGGACUUGUAACUGAUGAUAUAUAUUCAGAAAUUAAAGUAUAUAUAUAUAAAACGGAUGGUUUAAUGUGUGGAUUAAUAUAUAUCAGCUGUUACAUUAUAAUAAAUCAGCUGUUACGAUUUAUUUUAAAUGUGCAGUUUAAAUUCAUAUAUUAAAUUUGGGGUGGUCAGUUACACUUAGCCUCUAGUAUAAAUAGAGGACUAAGCUGCUGAGUUUCAUACACCACACCCUACAUUCUCUUCUCUUCUUCCUCUCUGCUCUCUCUCCCAAACACAAGUCAGUCAGUAGUUGGUUUUCCGGCGAGUGAGGAGCUAGUCGUGGUUGAGCUUCGAAGGUGCUGUAAUUCAAAGCUCUGAGCUGUUUUAUCCUGGAGGAGGUGUUGCAAGCAUCCCCAGUGCAGCAGGUGGGGGCAAUAAUCUCUUCAAGAGCAGUCAGGUCUUCGUAUAAGGCCUGACGACUCAGCUGUUCUUGUGAUUUUCUUGUUGUACAUGUUCUUGCCUCAAGCUAUGGCUACUGGUACAACUUCUUUCCUUCCUCUAGUCUUACAGUCACUGACAUGCAUGUAUUUUACCUUCACGUUUUGUUUCAACUUGCUUGGCUUUGGCUUGUUUAAUAUGAUAUAUAACUGCCUCUAUGUUGCUAUAAUAAUCAGUAUAUCCAACACAGGGUAGCCGCAGAGUUGAACUUCUUCUUGUACUUGGCGAGGUAUUAAGAAAGGAGCCGGUGGGUGUAAUCUUCCGGUCUCUUUCACAAUACAUUGCAAAUAAGGCAACCUAGAUCUUCCAUAUUUAGUAUAAACAAACCAUCAAAUUAUAAUGAUGAUCAAAAAUUAUAUUAUCACCACAAAUAUAGGAGCCUGUCAAGAUAUAUUUACUAUAUAUAUAUAUAUUUCACAACUCAUAUCAUAAAUAUAUAUAGGGUUGUGUAAUCAGAUAAUGUAAAUUAAAGAAAUAUAUUCUAAUAAAAAAUAUGUUUAUUCUUUUUUAUCUUCUCGACACUAUUAGCAUAAUUAACUUAAAAUAUCCAACAAUAUAUAUUACGAGGCUCUUAGCCUUUUAUUGGAGUUCGACAAUGUAAAGGAGCAGAUGACUUUAUCUAAUAUCCUAAAAUUAAUUAGGCAGAACUAGAGUUGGUACAGCACGAAGCGGAUGAAGCUUUGCUACAGUGAUCCCGAACUUAUCCUCCAUGUCCAAUUCCUUUGGUGCAAUCCCACCUUCAAGUUUCCAGUCAAAACAAUUUAUGAGGGAGCCCAACAACACUGGCACCAUCCUCACGGCCAAUGGCAAUCCCGGACAUUUCCUUCGACCUGCACCAAAUGGAAUUAGCUCGUAAUUAUGGCCAUUGACAUCAACCUCAGAGUUCAGGAACCUCUCUGGUUGGAAUGACAAGGGAUUUUUCCAUAUCAGGGGAUCACGUCCUAUAGUCCAUGCAUUGACUAGGACUUGCGAAUUCUUGGGAAUAGUGUAGCCACAGAGUGGAACUUCUUCUUGUACUUGGCGAGGUAUUAAGAAAGGAGCCGGUGGGUGUAAUCUUCCGGUCUCUUUCACAAUACACUGCAAAUAAGGCAACCUAGAUAUGUCC